AUGAGAACAGAUGGAGCUGCUGGAGAAGAGAAUUGAAAUACUAUACAAAAGAAAAGGGCAGUGUCACUGAUGGAAUGAAGACUACAAAUUCUAAAUACGGUUGAAGGUACCACUUCACAAAUCAUAUAGGCUUGGAUCCAUAGUGUUCCUUCUGCAAAUGGAAAUGGAAAUGAUGGUGAUGAUAAUGAGAUCCAGCGAAGGCUCCUGCUGCAGAAAGAGGAAAGUGACUUUUGCUGCAAGGGCAACUCCUCACAUUUUUCUGACCCUGAAGACAAACUACUGGGGACCAUCAUCAAUUUCACGUCCUUUUUGGGAGCUUCCAGAAACAAUUAGAUGACCAUUGGUAUAAAAAAUGCUAACCUUAUCCAAAAAGGCAAUCCUUAUAUAACAUUCCUAAACCCUAGAUAUGUCCCAUAUAUAUUUCUGCUGUAUUUCUGUUGUUAUGAACAUUUUAGGAUUUCUUUUAUGAUGAUUAUAAUUUUUAACAUGUUAAUCGUCUGUUCUAACAUUUAGCUUUUGUGAAUUGCAUUGUUGGGCAUGUGUUGUGUUGUUGUGACCCACCCUGGAAUAAUUAACCAA
Long non-coding RNA from Rhineura floridana, 579 nucleotides. RefSeq lists it as uncharacterized. The transcript is spliced from 3 exons. Lineage: Eukaryota; Metazoa; Chordata; Lepidosauria; Squamata; Rhineuridae. The record is from RefSeq and is a predicted model, not a curated record.